RNAcentral lists this non-coding RNA (29 nucleotides) under Homo sapiens (human). The record is from RNAcentral. Lineage: Eukaryota; Metazoa; Chordata; Mammalia; Primates; Hominidae.
UAGCAGGAAUUGUGUCCUGAGGUGUUGGA